RNAcentral lists this ribosomal RNA (522 nucleotides) under uncultured bacterium. RNAcentral's name for it is "partial 16S ribosomal RNA". It matches the Rfam family "Bacterial small subunit ribosomal RNA", at positions 356 to 900 of the family's 1533-position model. The record is from RNAcentral.
UGGGAAUAUUGGACAAUGGGCGCAAGCCUGAUCCAGCAAUGCCGCGUGAGUGAUGAAGGCCUUAGGGUGUAAAGCUCUUUCGCACGCGACGAUGAUGACGGUAGCGUGAGAAGAAGCCCCGGCUAACUUCGUGCCAGCAGCCGCGGUAAUACGAAGGGGGCUAGCGUUGUUCGGAAUUACUGGGCGUAAAGGGCGCGUAGGCGGCCUGUUUAGUCAGAAGUGAAAGCCCCGGGCUCAACCUGGGAAUAGCUUUUGAUACUGGCAGGCUUGAGUUCCGGAGAGAUGGUGGAAUUCCCAGUNUAGAGGUGAAAUUCGUAGAUAUUGGGAAGAACACCGGUGGCGAAGGCGGCCAUCUGGACGGACACUGACGCUGAGGCGCGAAAGCGUGGGGAGCAAACAGAUUAGAUCCCUGGUAGUCCANGCCCGUAAACGAUGAAUGCUAGACGUCGGGGUGAUGCACUUCGGUGUCGCCGCUAACGCAUUAAGCAUUCCGCCUGGGGAGUACGGCCGCAAGGUUAAAAC